Molecule: non-coding RNA, 1144 nt
Organism: Poecilia reticulata (guppy)
Lineage: Eukaryota; Metazoa; Chordata; Actinopteri; Cyprinodontiformes; Poeciliidae
Source: RefSeq, a predicted model, not a curated record
UUUUUUUUAGCGUUUUAAUCCACUUUAUAUUUACUGGUUGUGUCCUGCAGGUGGAAGUUUGUAUAUUUUACCCCUAAAAAACUUUAAUCAUGAAGAAAGAAGCAGUGCAGGCAGCAGCCAAGGAGUUUCUGCAGUUUGUCAACAAAGGAGUCUCUCCGUAUCAUGGUAAGGUCUGGCGAAACUGCGAUGAUUCCAAAGAAAUGUGACGCUUCUUUGGAAUAAUCCUAGAAGCGUCACACUGAACCCCAUUUAGAAAUSUCUGAAUUUAAACACYUCUUAAUUCUCAGCGCGUUUUAAAAUCAAUAAUUAUUGUCAYUGUCACUUUCCUAACUCGUUAUAGCUGCUUUUUGAACUCGGCAAACUUUUUAAAGUAAUUCAUUCACAAGAAGCUGCCAGACUCUGCUAAYGAGUCAGAUCAAAAUAUAAAAUAAUACCUGAACUUUGACCCCAAAUCCAGAGGAGUUGAACAUGAGACUUUGGAUGCAGAUAAGUUUUAUCCCAGCCUGUUCUCUAACGUCUCUGUAAUCAUACGACCAGGGAGGCAGGUUAGCUCAUCAUAAGACCAUCAUACAGCAGCAGUCUUCAGUCAGAAGCCUCUGCAGAUGAGUUGGAAUGCUGACUGCUACUGGAGAGCAAAUCGGCCCACAGGAUCACCAUCUACAGAGAAAUUUAGCUUCCCUUUGGGGGAAAUGCAGAUUUAUCUAACUGCAUACGAUGAUGAUGAUGAUGAUGUUUGUUAAAUCGGUUGCCAUGGUUUCUGAACAUCAAUCUCCUGUUGAUGUCAGUACAGAACAUUUCUUAACCGUUUUGCUCCGCCGUUUGAGGAGACUGAAAUGUUUAUUUAUUAAAACAAGUUUCUCUCGUAUCCAUGGCAACAGCAGUAACCUGACCUUUAACCCCAAACAAUAGCAGACUGGAGCUUCUGGUUGCCGCUGCAGCAGAGCYGCAGCCGCAGAGGCUAAUGCUAACUGCUAGUCAGAGUGGGCCCGAUAUUAAUAUAGUGCUGCCAUCUUAAAGUGGCUCUAAUGGGCUCUUUGCACCUACGGCGUUGAUGUCACAUCUCCAGGAGCUAAUGCGGCUCACUUGUUUCCGCUUUGAGUUACCAUGACUGCUAGAAAAGACUAAGCCGUAUUUCAGAUGCAAA